CGUAGGGUGCGAGCGUUAAUCGGAAUUACUGGGCGUAAAGCGUGCGCAGGCGGCUUAGCAAGUCGGGCGUGAAAGCCCUCGGCUCAACCGAGGAAGUGCACCCGGAACUGCUGAGCUUGAGUGCCGGAGAGGAUGGCGGAAUUCCCCAAGUAGAGGUGAAAUUCGUAGAUAUGGGGAGGAACACCGGUGGCGAAGGCGGCCAUCUGGACGGUAACUGACGCUGAGACGCGAAAGCGUGGGGAGCAAACAGGAUUAGAUACCCUGGUAGUCCACGCCGUAAACGAUGAGAACUAGAUGUCGCGGGUGUUGACCCCUGCGGUGUCGCAGCUAACGCAUUAAGUUCUCCGCCUGGGAAGUACGGUCGCAAGAUUA
This 372-nucleotide ribosomal RNA is filed under the name uncultured organism. Its description in RNAcentral is "bacterial SSU rRNA". It matches the Rfam family "Bacterial small subunit ribosomal RNA", at positions 526 to 896 of the family's 1533-position model. The record is from RNAcentral.